This 474-nucleotide ribosomal RNA is filed under the name uncultured organism. RNAcentral describes it as "partial 16S ribosomal RNA". It matches the Rfam family "Bacterial small subunit ribosomal RNA", at positions 333 to 798 of the family's 1533-position model. The record is from RNAcentral.
ACACUCCUACGGGAGGCAGCAGUGGGGAAUUUUGGACAAUGGGGGCAACCCUGAUCCAGCAAUGCCGCGUGAGUGAAGAAGGCCUUCGGGUUGUAAAGCUCUUUUGUCAGGGAAGAAACGGUAGUAGCGAAUAACUAUUACUAAUGACGGUACCUGAAGAAUAAGCACCGGCUAACUACGUGCCAGCAGCCGCGGUAAUACGUAGGGUGCAAGCGUUAAUCGGAAUUACUGGGCGUAAAGCGUGCGCAGGCGGUUGUGUAAGUCAGAUGUGAAAUCCCCGGGCUCAACCUGGGAAUUGCAUUUGAGACUGCACGGCUAGAGUGUGUCAGAGGGGGGUAGAAUUCCACGUGUAGCAGUGAAAUGCGUAGAUAUGUGGAGGAAUACCGAUGGCGAAGGCAGCCCCCUGGGAUAACACUGACGCUCAUGCACGAAAGCGUGGGGAGCAAACAGGAUUAGAAACCCCUGUAGUCCCAU